UGGGGGAUAUUGCACAAUGGGCGAAAGCCUGAUGCAGCGACGCCGCGUGGGGGAUGAAGGCCUUCGGGUUGUAAACUUCUUUUGCUCUGAACAAGGCAUGCCUUUGGGGUGUGUUGAGUGUAGGGGUUGAUUAGCGCCGGCUAACUACGUGCCAGCAGCCGCGGUACUACGUAGGGCGCGAGCGUUGUCCGGAAUUAUUGGGCGUAAAGGGCUUGUAGGUGGCUGGUUGCGUCUGUCGUGAAAGCUCAUGGCUUAACUGUGGGUUUGCGGUGGGUACGGGCUGGCUUGAGUGCAGUAGGGGAGGCUGGAAUUCCUGGUGUAGCGGUGGAAUGCGCAGAUAUCAGGAGGAAUACCGGUGGCGAAGGCGGGUCUCUGGGCUGUUACUGACGCUGAGGAGCGAAAGCGUGGGGAGCGAACAGG
RNAcentral lists this ribosomal RNA (420 nucleotides) under Fusobacteriota bacterium. Its description in RNAcentral is "Fusobacteria bacterium partial 16S ribosomal RNA". It matches the Rfam family "Bacterial small subunit ribosomal RNA", at positions 355 to 776 of the family's 1533-position model. Lineage: Bacteria; Fusobacteriati; Fusobacteriota. The record is from RNAcentral.